RNAcentral lists this transfer RNA (81 nucleotides) under Ferroplasma acidiphilum. RNAcentral describes it as "tRNA-Ser". It matches the Rfam family "tRNA". From Rfam's summary of the family: Transfer RNA (tRNA) molecules are approximately 80 nucleotides in length. Their secondary structure includes four short double-helical elements and three loops (D, anti-codon, and T loops). RNAcentral also lists the same sequence under 4 other names. The record is from RNAcentral. Lineage: Archaea; Methanobacteriati; Thermoplasmatota; Thermoplasmata; Thermoplasmatales; Ferroplasmaceae.
GCCACGGUGGCCCAGUGGUACGGCGCCAGCCUUGAGAGCUGGUUCCCUUGUGGAUCGGGUGUUCGAAUCACCCCCGUGGCG